RNAcentral lists this ribosomal RNA (1015 nucleotides) under Salmonella enterica subsp. enterica serovar Paratyphi B var. L(+) tartrate +. RNAcentral describes it as "partial 23S ribosomal RNA". It matches the Rfam family "Bacterial large subunit ribosomal RNA", at positions 137 to 1190 of the family's 2925-position model. Lineage: Bacteria; Pseudomonadati; Pseudomonadota; Gammaproteobacteria; Enterobacterales; Enterobacteriaceae. The record is from RNAcentral.
GAUUCGUCACACUAUCAUUAACUGAAUCCAUAGGUUAAUGAGGCGAACCGGGGGAACUGAAACAUCUAAGUACCCCGAGGAAAAGAAAUCAACCGAGAUUCCCCCAGUAGCGGCGAGCGAACGGGGAGGAGCCCAGAGCCUGAAUCAGCAUGUGUGUUAGUGGAAGCGUCUGGAAAGGCGCGCGAUACAGGGUGACAGCCCCGUACACAAAAGCGCAUGUGUUGUGAGCUCGAUGAGUAGGGCGGGACACGUGGUAUCCUGUCUGAAUAUGGGGGGACCAUCCUCCAAGGCUAAAUACUCCUGACUGACCGAUAGUGAACCAGUACCGUGAGGGAAAGGCGAAAAGAACCCCGGCGAGGGGAGUGAAAAAGAACCUGAAACCGUGUACGUACAAGCAGUGGGAGCACAGGUUUACCUGUGUGACUGCGUACCUUUUGUAUAAUGGGUCAGCGACUUAUAUUCUGUAGCAAGGUUAACCGAAUAGGGGAGCCGGAGGGAAACCGAGUCUUAAUUGGGCGUUAAGUUGCAGGGUAUAGACCCGAAACCCGGUGAUCUAGCCAUGGGCAGGUUGAAGGUUGGGUAACACUAACUGGAGGACCGAACCGACUAAUGUUGAAAAAUUAGCGGAUGACCUGUGGCUGGGGGUGAAAGGCCAAUCAAACCGGGAGAUAGCUGGUUCUCCCCGAAAGCUAUUUAGGUAGCGCCUCGUGAAUUCAUCUCCGGGGGUAGAGCACUGUUUCGGCUAGGGGGCCAUCCCGGCUUACCAACCCGAUGCAAACUGCGAAUACCGGAGAAUGUUAUCACGGGAGACACACGGCGGGUGCUAACGUCCGUCGUGAAGAGGGAAACAACCCAGACCGCCAGCUAAGGUCCCAAAGUCAUGGUUAAGUGGGAAACGAUGUGGGAAGGCCCAGACAGCCAGGAUGUUGGCUUAGAAGCAGCCAUCAUUUAAAGAAAGCGUAAUAGCUCACUGGUCGAGUCGGCCUGCGCGGAAGAUGUAACGGGGCUAAACCAU